Molecule: ribosomal RNA, 404 nt
Filed under: Actinomycetes bacterium
Lineage: Bacteria; Bacillati; Actinomycetota; Actinomycetes
Description: Actinobacteria bacterium partial 16S ribosomal RNA
Rfam family: Bacterial small subunit ribosomal RNA
Source: RNAcentral
UGGGGAAUAUUGGACAAUGGGCGCAAGCCUGAUCCAGCCAUGCCGCGUGAGUGAUGAAGGCCCUAGGGUUGUAAAGCUCUUUCACCGGUGAAGAUAAUGACGGUAACCGGAGAAGAAGCCCCGGCUAACUUCGUGCCAGCAGCCGCGGUAAUACGAAGGGGGCUAGCGUUGUUCGGAUUUACUGGGCGUAAAGCGCACGUAGGCGGACUUUUAAGUCAGGGGUGAAAUCCCGGGGCUCAACCCCGGAACUGCCUUUGAUACUGGAAGUCUUGAGUAUGGUAGAGGUGAGUGGAAUUCCGAGUGUAGAGGUGAAAUUCGUAGAUAUUCGGAGGAACACCAGUGGCGAAGGCGGCUCACUGGACCCUUACUGACGCUGAGGUGCGAAAGCGUGGGGAGCAAACAGG